CGGGGUAUAGCUCAGCAGGUAGAGCGGCGGACUCUUAAUCCGUUGGUCGCAGGUUCAAGCCCUGCUGCCCCGACCA
RNAcentral lists this transfer RNA (76 nucleotides) under Aeromonas sp. MrichA-1. RNAcentral's name for it is "tRNA-Lys". It matches the Rfam family "tRNA". From Rfam's summary of the family: Transfer RNA (tRNA) molecules are approximately 80 nucleotides in length. Their secondary structure includes four short double-helical elements and three loops (D, anti-codon, and T loops). Lineage: Bacteria; Pseudomonadati; Pseudomonadota; Gammaproteobacteria; Aeromonadales; Aeromonadaceae. The record is from RNAcentral.